Non-coding RNA from Anolis sagrei ordinatus, 2042 nucleotides. The record is from RefSeq and is a predicted model, not a curated record. Lineage: Eukaryota; Metazoa; Chordata; Lepidosauria; Squamata; Anolidae.
GUCAGAAGUCCCAUUUGGUAUGUGAAAAACUUCUGGAUGGGUUGGGCUAAAAGAAGUGCUGCAGAUUGCCGGCCUUCUUGAUGAUUUUAAGUUUAUGUUACUCACAGUAGGCACUAGAGACUGACUCCUUAAUCUUACACCAGAAGCAACUCAGUGAGGAGGUUGCAGGUAGUGCUAUCUCACACUGUCCUCCAGGGGAAUCAGGUGGGCAAGUCAUUCAUCUCAUAGAGUGAGCCGUUUCGCCUGAGGUCCCUGGACGACAAUAAGUGAGUGGAGAAUGGAAGAGGAGGACAAGCUCGCCCCUGAUGAUACUGGCAUGCCAUUACAGAAGUGCCAGGGAUCAUCAUACCAGAAAAGUUAUCCUACAGAAGUCAAAGAUUCUUAUGUUUCCAGCCCAGAUGGAAUAAGAAAUGCUCAAUUGUUCCAAAAAGGAGCCUAUUCUCAGCCUGAUAACUGUUUGGUCUUCAAGUCAUUUCUGAUUUAAGACUCUCCUAAGGCAACCCUGUCACAGAGUUUUCUGGGGAAAUGCAUCUGGCCAACCCUCCUGUUUCCUGAGGAAGCUCCUGGGAUAAAGGUACUGUCUGGAUGGGCCCUAAGACUGUUGUCUUCAUUUCCCGCUGCCUUCUACCUUGCCAAAUAUGAUUGUCUUGUCUAGUGAUUAUUAUGUCUUCUCAUGAUAUGUUCAAAGUACAACAGUCUUAGUUUAGAUCUCAUGUUAUCUAGGCAGAGUUCAAUUUGAUUUACCCUAGGACAACCUUAAAGGCCUUUUCACACAGUGAUAUAUCUCACCUCUGACACCCUUUUGCAUAUUGGUUCCUAUGGGUCCUAUAGCAUGAUGCAUGUUUUUCCCCCUGUAGGUAACCCCUGUAGGCACCCAUAGGCAAAGGAUUUGCAACCAGUGCCUUUUGAAAGACAAAUUUCCAACUGCAUUCACUCAUCCUUUAUUUCUCUGCAUACAUCAGAACUGUGACUUUUGACAUGUGAUUGUAAUCACAUAUGCAGCUCAUCUACAGCUUAUCACCUGUGCCAGGUAUGUGCCUUUUGGGACAUACUCUGUAAUGUAUAUUUAAAUUCUGCUCAAAACAUUUUGUGUUUGCUUAAGAAGUCAAACAUGUAUGAUAAUUUCUAAACUGAUUAAAUUCCCAAGGUCAUUCAGAUCAAUAUAAUAGUUUUGUGCAUUACUAUUUGUGGUUUUCUUUAACAUUACAUUUCUGUGUUCACAGUAUAAUAUAAACUGUGGGGAAAUUUUACAUUGAAAAGAAGGUGUGCUUAAGUCUCAUUGAAAUUACUGGAAUGAAACAAUGGAGUUAAGGAGCAAGGCAAUCUUAUUUUAAGAAAAACUCACAGUGCCACAAACCCUCUUUAAAAAUGAAAAGGAACAUCAAAAUGAAGCAUUGUUCUCUUUUUUGUUCCCCAUCUAACAAAACCAAGGCAUUUUAUUGCCUUGCAAUCCACCUGGCUGUGCUGUUGGCCAAGAAGCCUCAACCCCUCUGCUUCCCCAGUAACCAAGAGAAAGUGACUAAUCCAUUUGCAGUCUCCUGUGACAGCUAAUAUAGCCUACACCACACUCCUUUUUUAGCAGUGAAAGAAAGAAACUAAUGCGGAUAUCUAAGCAGAGCUUGGAAAGUUUUUUUCAAAGUCACUUUGUGGCCUAAAUCCUGGUUCCUUUUUUAAUUUAGCUCACUCUGGAAGAGCCCUUAAAAUGAGAUAACAUAUCACUCCUGUUGAGUUUAACGUGAUUCCUGUUGAUUUUAGCUACAACUUUUUCAUGUAGCUGCUAGCUCCUUUUUCCCUUGUGCUGCUGGAUGAAAAACAACCAUCUUGCUUUGAAAUGUUUAAAAGUAAAAAAGAAUAGAAAAUAUUAUUACUCUUGCAAUAACAGUGAUAAAUUGUUUUUUAUAACAUUGGUACUAUAGAUAUUUUGAGUGAAUUCCUAUACACUACCCACAUGCUAUGCUGAUGAAGAUAUGAGUAUUAUUAUUAUGAGGAAAAUGUGUCUUUACAAUGCAAAUUAGCAUUAUGUAACAGGAAUGGAGGAGCCC